UCAUGCAAUCAAAUCAACAUUAGCACACGCAAUCUCAACAGAUCUUGGAAGCUAAUCAGGUUUUAAGCCUGGUUAUUACUUGGAUGGGUGGCCAACAGGGCUUGCCAGGUGUUGCAGGCA
This 120-nucleotide ribosomal RNA is filed under the name Petromyzon marinus (sea lamprey). The record is from RNAcentral. Lineage: Eukaryota; Metazoa; Chordata; Hyperoartia; Petromyzontiformes; Petromyzontidae.